AAACGCAUAAGUCCGACCCUGUAUCGAC
RNAcentral lists this non-coding RNA (28 nucleotides) under Bombyx mori (domestic silkworm). Lineage: Eukaryota; Metazoa; Arthropoda; Insecta; Lepidoptera; Bombycidae. The record is from RNAcentral.